GUUCUCAGAGGGUUCAAAAAGACGCUACUCUCUCUCCUCACUGAUCUCCCGAUGUAGAUCUCCUCCUCGAAACGAAAGAAACGAGUUGCCACGCUGAUUGAUUGCCAUGCGAGUCUCGCGUGUAUAGGAUGUAGAUUCCCUUUCCCCGCGCGUGAAGGCACGCCGCCCACGAAGGCAUCCUUUCCCUUCUCUCUUUCUUUUUAGAUUGAUGGUCGAUAAUCACGAAUAAGAGCCGCUUUGGGUCCUGAUCGAAUCGGACGCAAUCGUCGCUCGCGAUCGCGAUCCACAGCGAGGGGUCGUGAAUAAGACGCCUCGAAACAACCGACCGUGCGAAAUCGCAUUGGUGUGUGUUUUUUUUUUUUUACAUCUUUGCGCGCUUUGAACGACACGGAACGGAAACGAGAGAGAGAGAGACGGAAGCCCAAACCAGACGGGAAGUGUUCGAUUCAGGAGCGCGCAAAUCCACCACCACGUCACGGCGGGGCAAAUGUUCUCGACGAGCUUUCGCGAAAUCCCGCCGCCGAGCAACAGCAGCGCAUCUGAGAAAAAUCGCCGCCGGCUGGACACCAACGCCGGCUUACUUUCCGGUUCGUUUCCGGUGCGGCCGGACGGCACGUCAUCAUCAUCAUCAUCGUUGCCGUCCCGAUGAAGUGAGCCGCGCGCGUCAGGCCUGUUGACUUCCGAGCUGACGAUGCGUCACGUUCAACCGGCUGUGCCCGUAUCCAAGCACUUGAAACGUAUAUAUAUUAUCGAUAUAUAGUGUUCCAAACGCGCGUCCUAUCGUCGAUAUUUAAUAAUCAAUUUUAACGCGUACGCUCGCGCUGUACAAACGUUUGGAAAACGUCGGAAUUGGUCGAGAUCAAAGAGAGAUACACGUUAAAGAGAAAAUAGAAUUGAGGUCGAGAGGACGCAAACGGGCGACCAUCACGAGAGAACAAGGAUGACGACGACGACGAAUACGACGACGACGACGACGACGACGACGAUACGAUAAGCGGUGUAGUUAAAACGAUAAGGGUUGCAACACGGAUAGUGUGAUCGUCGCGCAUAACGUCAGAGAGAGAGUAGCCUUCAUAUAAAUUACCGUGUGUAUACAUACAAGGUAUAUACAGAGCGCACAAGUAUAUAAGUACGAAUAAACAUUUGUAAAUAUUGUGAUACGCAACACACGUAAUCGCGGAGCACGCGCGCGCGCGCGCGCGCGACAAGCAAUAACGAGAGAACAAUAAAAAACAAAACAAAAAAAAACGAUUACAAAAAAAAAAGCGCAUUAUUGUUAAUCGUGUUACGUCACCGUAACGGAUUUUAUCGGUGAUAUACCUGUUAUAUAUACCUGUGUUCGAAAGAGCUUUGUUAAUCGUUAAAAAAAACCGCUCUCGAGACGAGUUUUACGCUUAUUACCACCGGGAACCGUCGAAAAGACUGCGCCCAGACGACAAGAUGGCGUUUGCCGCGGCGAGGAUGAUCCUCAAGGACAAGCGCAGGAAAGCUAGCAAAGAGGACUUCGCACCGCGAAACAGAAGCAAGGCUCGCAGCGCCAGCACAAGUAGCUUUAGAAGCCUAAGCCAGGCACGCAACAAACCGGCGGACGGCGUGGGUCAUGUGAAUCAAAAAGGUGCUUCCG
Molecule: long non-coding RNA, 1624 nt
Organism: Pseudomyrmex gracilis
Lineage: Eukaryota; Metazoa; Arthropoda; Insecta; Hymenoptera; Formicidae
Exons: 3
Source: RefSeq, a predicted model, not a curated record